Molecule: transfer RNA, 69 nt
Filed under: Spilogale putorius (eastern spotted skunk)
Lineage: Eukaryota; Metazoa; Chordata; Mammalia; Carnivora; Mephitidae
Description: tRNA-Glu
Source: RNAcentral
GUUUCUAUAGUUGAAUAACAACAGUGGUUUUUCGUAUCACCAGUCAUGGUUGAAUUCCAUGUGGAAAUA